RNAcentral lists this ribosomal RNA (371 nucleotides) under uncultured organism. Its description in RNAcentral is "bacterial SSU rRNA". It matches the Rfam family "Bacterial small subunit ribosomal RNA", at positions 526 to 896 of the family's 1533-position model. The record is from RNAcentral.
CAGAGGGUGCAAGCGUUAAUCGGAUUUACUGGGCGUAAAGCGUGAGUAGGUGGCUCGCCAAGUCGAUUGUGAAAGCCCUGGGCUCAACCUGGGAAUUGCAGUCGAUACUGGUGAACUAGAGUUCGGUAGAGGGUGACGGAAUUCCCGGUGUAGCGGUGAAAUGCGUAGAUAUCGGGAGGAACAUCGAUGGCGAAGGCAAUCACCUGGGCCUGAACUGACACUGAGACACGAAAGCGUGGGUAGCAAACAGGAUUAGAUACCCUGGUAGUCCACGCCGUAAACGAUGGGAACCUGACGUCGGUUUGCUCUGCGAAUCGGUGUCGUAGCUAACGCGCUAAGUUCCCCGCCUGGGGAGUACGGCCGCAAGGUUG